CCCUUAGACGUUCUGGGCCGCACGCGCGCAACACUGACCAGUGCAACAAGCAUCCGUCCUUGGCCGACAGGCCCGGGCAAUCUUUGAACGCUGGUCGUGAUGGGGAUAGACUUUUGCAAUUUUUGGUCUUCAACGAGGAAUUCCUAGUAAACGCAAGUCAUCAACUUGCAUUGAUUACGUCCCUGCCCUUUGUACACACCGCCCGUCGCACCUACCGAUUGAAUGGUCCGGUGAAGCCUCCGGAUUGGCGCGCACCUCGGUGCCGCCGAGAAGUUGGCUAAACCUUACCAUUUAGAGGAAGGUGAAGUCGUAACA
This 315-nucleotide ribosomal RNA is filed under the name uncultured eukaryote. RNAcentral's name for it is "partial 18S ribosomal RNA". It matches the Rfam family "Eukaryotic small subunit ribosomal RNA", at positions 1470 to 1796 of the family's 1831-position model. The record is from RNAcentral.